This is a long non-coding RNA of Microtus oregoni (creeping vole), 370 nucleotides long. RefSeq lists it as uncharacterized. The record is from RefSeq and is a predicted model, not a curated record. The transcript has 3 exons. Lineage: Eukaryota; Metazoa; Chordata; Mammalia; Rodentia; Cricetidae.
GGCGUAGGCCUCCGAGUAGUGCUGCCGCUCAAAUGGGCAGUCGAGCGGCUCGAGGUGGUGCUGGCUGAAGGCAUCCGUCCGAAGGUGCUUUCGGGGACCGCUGCUGCUGCUCUGAAUCUUCCAGAACCUUGGGGUCUAGGAGGGCGCCGGAAGCUGCCCUCUCUCACCUGUUGAUGGAGCUGACACUGGGCACAGUGUCAUUGUCACAAACGCCUUCUGCCAGGAGCCGGUCCCGGAUCUCCCAGGCAAACAUGGUUCCAUGGUUCAUGUUGAAGCUGCUUCUCCCAGACUCUAAAGUCCGGCCUCGCUUGGAAUCUCUGGCCUGAUUCAGCCCCCGAAGAUGAGCCUCCUCCUCCUCCAGAACCUAUCC